CCCUUAGAUGUUCUGGGCUGCACACGUGCUACACUGGCAGGUUCAGCGAGCUUCAUGCCCUGAUCUGAAAGAAAUGGGAAAUCUUUUCAAAACCUGCCGUGCUUGGGAUAGAUGUUUGCAAUUAUUCAUCUUCAACGAGGAUUGCCUUGUAAGCGCACGUCAUCAGCGUGCAUUGAAUACGACCCUGUAUUCUGUACACACCGCCCGUCGCUCCUACCGAUUGAAGUUUUCGGUGAGUUGACAGGAGGAUUUUUUUGAAACUGGUUCGCCAGUGGAUUUUAGAUCCAAAUGCCAACGAAUCGAUGGCUUUAGAGGAAGGAGAAGUCGUAACA
This 332-nucleotide ribosomal RNA is filed under the name uncultured eukaryote. RNAcentral describes it as "partial 18S ribosomal RNA". It matches the Rfam family "Eukaryotic small subunit ribosomal RNA", at positions 1470 to 1796 of the family's 1831-position model. The record is from RNAcentral.